This 467-nucleotide ribosomal RNA is filed under the name Gymnotus sp. RNAcentral describes it as "partial 16S ribosomal RNA". It matches the Rfam family "Bacterial large subunit ribosomal RNA", at positions 1922 to 2555 of the family's 2925-position model. The record is from RNAcentral. Lineage: Eukaryota; Metazoa; Chordata; Actinopteri; Gymnotiformes; Gymnotidae.
GUUUAACGGCCGCGGUAUCCUGACCGGGCGAAGGUAGCGCAAUCACUUGUCUUUUAAAUAAGGACCUGUAUGAAUGGCAAAACGAGGGCUUAACUGUCUCCCUUUACAAGUCAGUGAAAUUGACCUGCCCGUGCAGAUGCGGACAUAACAAUACAAGACGAGAAGACCCUUUGGAGCUUAAGACAUAAGCCAACUAUGUUAAUAACCUAUUAAUAGGCUAAACUGUAACACUGGCCCCAGUCUUCGGUUGGGGCGACCACGGAGUAAAACAAAACCUCCACGAGGAUAGGGAAUAUCCUAAAACCAAGAGAGACAUCUCCAAGUCACAGAAUAUCUGACCAAAUAGAUCCGUCCCGGCCGAUCAACGAACCAAGUUACCCAAGGGAUAACAGCGCAAUCCCCUUCCAGAGUCCCUAUCGACAAGGGGGUUUACGACCUCGAUGUUGGAUCAGGACAUCCUAAUGGUG